GCUGGGCGUGGUGGCGCAUGCCUGUAAUCCCAGCUACUCAGGAGGCUGAGGCAGGAGAAUUGCUUGAACCCAGGAGGUGGAGGUUGCAGUGAAUUCAGAUGGCGCCAGUGCAUUCCAGCCUGGGCAACAUAGCAAGACCCUGUCUCAA
This 148-nucleotide non-coding RNA is filed under the name Nomascus leucogenys (northern white-cheeked gibbon). Lineage: Eukaryota; Metazoa; Chordata; Mammalia; Primates; Hylobatidae. The record is from Rfam by way of RNAcentral.